Molecule: ribosomal RNA, 409 nt
Filed under: Fusobacteriota bacterium
Lineage: Bacteria; Fusobacteriati; Fusobacteriota
Description: Fusobacteria bacterium partial 16S ribosomal RNA
Rfam family: Bacterial small subunit ribosomal RNA
Source: RNAcentral
GGGGGAAUCUUGCACAAUGGGCGAAAGCCGGAUGCAGCGACGCCGCGUGGGGGACGAAGGCCCUCGGGUUGUAAACCCCUUUCGGCAGGGAAGAAGCGCAAGUGACGGUACCUGCAGAAGAAGCUCCGGCUAACUACGUGCCAGCAGCCGCGGUAAGACGUAGGGAGCGAGCGUUGUCCGGAUUCAUUGGGCGUAAAGCGCGCGUAGGCGGUUUGGUAAGUCGGAUGUGAAAUCCCGAGGCUCAACCUCGGGACUGCAUCCGAUACUGCCCGACUAGAGGUAGGUAGGGGAGAUCGGAAUUCCUGGUGUAGCGGUGAAAUGCGCAGAUAUCAGGAGGAACACCGGUGGCGAAGGCGGAUCUCUGGGCCUUACCUGACGCUGAGGCGCGAAAGCUAGGGGAGCGAACAGG